Molecule: ribosomal RNA, 591 nt
Filed under: uncultured bacterium
Lineage: Bacteria
Description: bacterial SSU rRNA
Rfam family: Bacterial small subunit ribosomal RNA
Source: RNAcentral
AAUGAACGCUGGCGGCAUGGAUUAGGCAUGCAAGUCGAACGAUCCCGCUUGCGGGAUAGUGGCGAAAGGGUGAGUAACGCGUGAGUAACCUGCCUUAAGGUUGGGGAUAGCCCUGCGAAAGCGGGAUUAAUACCGAAUGGGGCGUUCUGCUGCAGAGCAGAAUUGCUAANGGAGCAAUCCGCCUUAAGAUGGGCUCGCGUCCUAUUAGCUUGUUGGUGAGGUAACGGCUCACCAAGGCGACGACAGGUAGGUGGUCUGAGAGGAUGGUCACCCACACUGGGACUGAGACACUGCCCAGACUCCUACGGGAGGCUGCAGUCGAGAAUCUUCCGCAAUGAGCGCAAGCUUGACGGANCGAUGCCGCGUGAGGGAUGAAGGCUUUCGGGUCGUAAACCUCUGUCACCCGGAACGAAUAAUUGACGGUACCGGGAGAGGAAGCCACGGCUAACUACGUGCCAGCAGCCGCGGUAAUACGUAGGUGGCAAGCGUUAUUCGGAUUUAUUGGGCGUAAAGGGUCCGUAGGGGGUUCGUUAAGUCUGGUGUGAAAGCCCGCGGCUCAACCGCGGAACUGCACUGGAAACUGGCAAACUA